This 8825-nucleotide unclassified non-coding RNA is filed under the name Leishmania donovani. RNAcentral describes it as "LdHU3.02.0610". The record is from RNAcentral. Lineage: Eukaryota; Euglenozoa; Kinetoplastea; Trypanosomatida; Trypanosomatidae.
ACUUCGCAGAUGCUCAUCACUUCACCCUCCCUCGCGCGCGCUCAUUUUCUGUUUUUCCCUGUUACCACCCCCACCCCCACCUCUCCCUUCCUUCCUCUCCCAACACACGAAGGCAGCGCACGCACAACUGUGCCCCUGUACGCACGUGUGCGUCGUGUGUGUGUGUGCGAGAUAGAUAGAGAGAGAGCGAUUUCAGCGAGUGUGCGAAUAGGGUGCGCGUGCAUGUCGACGCGCAUCCCUGCCUGACACCCCUUAAUCUCGGCGCAUACACACACACACACACACACACACACCUAUCACUGCUGCCCCCCUCCUCUUUUUCGGGUGGUCAUCUCCCAUCUGCCGCAUCCAGGAAGCGUUUUUCUGCUUUUGCCUUGCUUCCUUUCACUCGCGUUACGCGUCCCUCAUUCCCCCCUUUUUUUCGUUGUGUCGUCGAGCGACGGCGUAGACACUCUGAUUUCCCCCUCUCCCCCCUCUUGUGCACGCGGGGGUAAGACCAGCCACGAACAAAAAAGACGGAAGCAAGCGGGCGGCCAUCCCACCUCCGCGACGGCCUCACGGCAACAAGAGAGUGCGACAUCGAGAAGAGCGAGGAGGGGCUAAAAAACAAAACAAGAAGGUACACACACACACACUCAGUUCCUCUCCGUGCACUCUGCCUUAUCAUUGGCUCUCUUCCGCUCUCCCUAUCCGUCCUCACUCACGCUGCAGCGCGCGCAGGCAGGCAGACAGGCGUGCGUGCGUGUGUGUGUGUGUGUAGGGGACUCUUGUUCUCGUCCUCGUUUUGCUUUGCCUAAGCGCACUGGCAACUCUUCUGCUUCUCGGCCUCCCCUUACCUCCCGCCUUAACAAAAUAUCUUUUCCCCUCUGUUUAUGCUGAACGAACUCACGCACCGACACCCCCCCCCCCCCCCCGCACCGAGGCCAGCGUCACGCUCGAACUCGUACGCGCCUUCGUUUACUUGUGUGCCCUUCUCAGAGAAAGCGAAGAGUGUCCGUGCUUUUGUGUGUGCGUGUGUGCUCCUCCAUUUUUUUUUCCUUCCUUUGGUGCCUGCCUGCACAUCCAGCCCCCUCCCGGCCCUUCCACCACCCCUCCCUCCGUUUUCGCUCUCCGUUCUCUCUCUGUCUGUCUGCGUGUGGAGCUGAAUCCCUCCGGUUCUUCGAUCCUUCCGCUCGUUGACGUGUGCCCCGCGUGGGCACCUGCUUCGCGUGUCUUUCACUUUUUUUUUCUGAAGCCUCGCCACUCGCCACUCCUUCUGGUUGGCUCUCGUGCCCUCGACAAGGCUUCGCGUCUCUGAUAUCUCCACUCUCUUCCUUCUUUGUUUGUGCGUGUCUGUGUGUGUGUGUGCCGGGCUCCCGCCCUCCCUCUGGCUGCACUCUUGCUUUAAAAGCCGUUUCCUUCCUCCCCUCCCGCCGGUGCUUGCUGUUCCGUAUACACAGACAUAACCACAGCGAGGCCCUCUUGGUUUCCUGCUGAGCUGUCCAUUCCCUUUCUCUGUGCCGCUCAUUGCUUGUCCUCUUGUGGUGCUGCCCUUGAAAGGGUCAUAGACGACAGCACGCACAUCACACGUGUAUCUGCUCCGGCUGCGGCUGCCCUCUCUCUACAUCUUUCGUUGACUUGGGGACAAGGCGCGUUGGGGUGGCGCAGGCCUCUCUGCCGAUUCCGAGCUGUACCGCAGCGGGGCAGAGGCACCACGUCUUCUCCCAUGCAGUCACUGACCUCAUCCGGCGUGAUUGGCCGCUCGAUGUCGGCCAGGAAGACCCCUGCCCCCAUUUCACUGCGAGAAGACGUGGGCAGCCUCCGUGCUGGUGGCGCUCGCACGAGUGCGGCAAGGGAAGGACCAGGCAGCACUGCGCGGCCUGCUUCAGCCAGAACAGCUUCUCUGACCACGUUGGGUAAGGCUGCGGCCAGAGCGGCGGUUGGUAAUGAGGCAAGCGGUUUCUGCCGGAGCUCAUCACGCGGCAGCGGCAGUGCGGGUCGAUGCAGCCCGCAACGGUUUGGACACGGCGUUGGUGAGCAGCAAGUCCGCCCUCGCUCGACGGUCACGCUGGACUCACCGAAUCAGCACCUCUCUCCCGCUCCACACGAGUCUUUGGGAGGAGUAUCGACCACCGCCGCUCCACCAACGUCAAGCGACGCCCGCACAGGCGCGUUCCCGGCGACUCGUGAAGCGCCCAAGCGAUCAAAGGUACAAAUUCGGAGCAUUCGCGUGCGCAGUGCGCCCGAUGAGCCAUCAGGGCCGACGCGGCCCGUUGCCGGCAGGGACACCGCACCACCGCACCAGCAAUGCCAACUUUCGAAGUCUGCCGAAGCGACCACCGCGUCGGCGCCUGCGCGCAUCUUUUCCGCCGCGGCGACGAUUACGUCGAGCCCGCCAGCACACACAAGCACGACCAGCUCCGCAGUGUCCAUACCACGCUCUCGCACUGCUCGCACCUCGGCCUCCUUGGAGGCAUUUUUGCUGAGCUUCCAGAACUGCCUCCACAGACAAGAGAUUUUGUUUCAGCGUGUCGACACCGCAGUCGCCCAACUCGAGAGUGCGUGCGUCAACGCCUGCGGUGCGACGGUUUCCCCGCCUUCCUCGGCCCCGACAGCACCGUCCCAGACAGCCUCUCUUUGGGGCAGCGGCUCGCGGCCGCAGUACGUGUUGCCAUCGCACAUAUCUUCCUGCCCCCCCGCGGCGGCCGCGGCCGGUGCGUCGCCGACGCGACCUAACAAGACUGUAACCUUUCCAGGUGCUGUUACCGGAGCAAGGCGCAGCGACGGCGCCAAUGACAUUGCCAGCUCUAACAUGCACACGGACGGCGCGCCGGUGCUCUCUGUCUCUUCCUCCCAGCAGGAGCUGCCGGUCACCGACGCUUCUCACCACGCGCAGCGGCAUCCGCCGAGCCAGAGCACGGGGUCUUCGACUCUUUCACUGUCCGUUGUCGUGAUGCAGCCCGCGUUGGAGCGCGUGGGCGGCAACGACGGCGGGUCGCCGAUGGUGUGUGCCUUCGCUCAAGGCCUCCUAUCCCCGCCCCAGCAGACGUCGCCGCUCCUCACGUUGCCGACCUACGUUCGGCUUGACGGCGCGGCACUGACACCGACCUCGGCGGCGCCAACUAGGCUCUCUCAUCCACACCCCCUGUUUCCUUGCUCGAUGCCGGGGACACCGCUGUCGCCGGCUCGGUUGGCCACCACGCAGCAGCAACUCCCCACGAGCAACACCGGGUGCACAGGCAGCCUGCCACUGAACACAAAGGUGACGUCUCUGGUGACCGAAUCCCCGCCCAUCUCCGGCAGCGGAGGGGCACUGGGCAGGCAGCAAUACCCAGCGGCGGACGCGGAGAUCAUCGCAGGUGACCCAGUCACGGAAGCCCCUAUGCUGCCCGCGCCUGCCGAAGGAACGGAUGCACACGAGGCAGCCGCGCCGUGUGGCGUGGCGAGCACUGCCGCGGAGAACACCGCACCUGAGGAUGCGGAGGAGAGCGCCGGGGGUAGACGAAAAGGCGCUGCUGCGACCGAGUCGUCCAGUGACGAGAGCGCCUCCGCUUCUCCGAUUGUGCACAGUGCGCAGAUGCCCUACCUCACCACCACCAUUUCUGGCGCAGACCAGAGCUUUAACAGCGGCUGCGGCGGCGCAGGGAGCGAUGGCGUGCCGACGUGGUCCAGCGCCCCGCCUGGGCACGCGAAGAUCGGAAACCUUCGCAUCGGCGGCAUUCCCGACUCCUCCGUGAUAAGCGUCUUCAGCGAGAGCGCGGACAGCGUGUCGCUCUCGCCCCUCUCGCGCCCGCCGUCGAUUUGGGUAGGUAGCCCGAGGACGCGAAGCAAUCUCGGUCCGACGUCGCCGCAUCAAGCGCAGCUGUCGCUGCAACAGCACUCCUCGCUUGGCGGUAGCAGCAUCAGCACAGCAUGGAUUUCACCCCGCCGUGUGCCGAACAGCCACAACAGCCGCAGCAGCAGCAACGCCGCUGGGGCGACGCAGGCAUCGGCGAACCGGUCCCCCCGCACAGUGGCCGCGUUGGAGAACCCGCGACACGCGUCGACGGCGGUGAACUCCGCCAGCUCUCUACCGUCGAUGAGUCAACAGCAACCGCAGCAGCGCAGCUCAGGGGACCUGCUCUCGCCCUUGUCCGGGCAGUGGCUGUUGUCGCCCUCCCCGACACCAACAGUUUCGCGGCGUGCGAGUGGCGUGGCGCACCGCAGUAGCGUCCAGAUGACCUCUGUCAACUUGUCAGGCAGCGGCACCCAGAACAUCGGCGGCAACAACAGCAGCGGCAACGCUGGUGGGCUGGCAACGGUGAUGUCAUCCGCUACAGUGGAGGGGAACGUCGUCUCCAGCCUUUCCUCAACGUCUCCUCUGGUGCCGCCGUGCUUUCCUGACAGCGGCGGCGUUGUCACGGGUGCGACUCAAGCAGUGACGUCGCCGAUAACCGCCUGUCGCCAACUCACCCUAUCGUCAUCGCCGUCGGCUGAGGAAGCCGAUCGCGAUGACUCCUUUCAGGAAACCUCGCUGCGGUCGCCCAUUGGCCUGGCCGAGGAGGCGGACGACGAAGACGCGCAGCAGCUGCAACAGCUGGCAAACCGCUACGCCCCGCCACCGCCACCACCGUCGUUGACAGAGUUGCAGCAGCAGCAGAACCAGCGCCGUCGCUGGAGUGCGCCACCAGUGCCCACCAUGAGACGUCCUCCCAUGGCACCUCUGCGUCAUCCCGACGCUGCCUGCCCGGCAGCGCUUCGGAAUGAGGAGGAGCGGCUGCGCAGCUCCACGCCACCGGUUGCGAGGCCAGAGCAGUGGCUGUCGUUUGAGCAGCAGCACGAGCGGCUGCACCUGCCCGAGUGCUGGCGUGAUAGCGAGGUGAUCGUCGUCGACCAUGUGGAGAAGGACAGGGAACGUGAUUCCGAGGAGGCAGAGCGGCUGCUAGAGCUGGAGGAGGAGCUGCUGAGAGAGCUGCGGCAAAACCAGUCAGACCGGAUGGACGGCGACGGUCUACUUCGGCGGGGCCGGCGACGGGGAAGUCGGCACAGGCACUUGAUGGCAGACGCCAACGCCGCCGGCGAGACGAUAGACGAGGAGGAGCUUGAUUGGGGCGAUGACUCAGCCGAUGGGGCCGCGGCGGACGCUGCCUACGAAGCACGCCUGGCGCGCUACGGCAGAGCGAUGUUGCUGCACCGACGCGGCCGCUCUAGCGCCUCGCUGCACCGCGACGGCGGCGAGGGGUGCUCGUGCGGCAGCUGCCCAUCUGCCACGAGCUGGUGUUGCCGGCGCCGACCCGUUAGCGGAGGAGACCGGCAGGGCUUCCCCUCUGACGCCACCGCCUCGUUGAGAGGGGCGCCCAGCGGUGAGAGCACCACCCUCCCAGCUGCCACGGGCGCUCCUUCAGGCUCGCCCGUGCUACCCAUGCGCAACUUCAGCCGUCGUCACUCAGCCCCGGCGACCAUCUGGGGCGCCGACCACGGGACAGGGUGGCGUGACCUGCAGGCACGUUUUGAAGAGCUCAUCAGUAUUCAGCAGCGCAGUCGCGGAAGUGAGCGGGAUGGCGCCGAUGGCACAACUCUUGACGAGCAGUCGUUAUCCACACUGGCGAACAACACGGCCUCCAGUCCCAUGAAAGAAGGUCUCGCCAGCGGUAUAUCACGUCGCCGUCGCAGCCGCAGCUUUAGCCACGAAGUCACCGCCUGCCCGCCAGAUGCGGUGGACAGGCGGGCACAGAGCGCCUCUCCUCCGACGGGCGACCUCAGCAGUUCCUACCGCGACAACAUGCCGCAUGACGGCGACGGGAACAGUGGUUUGCCUGCUCCAUCUCCGCACGCUGCUGCUGCGGCACCGACGCCGCUCGAGCGGACACACACCCACCCGGGCUCAAGCGGCUACCGCCGCGUCCAGUGGGGGAGGGAAGCUGAAGCCGAUGCGGCGCCGUCGCCGCCCUCGCAGGCACCCGAAAAGCAGCGCAUCUCUUCCGCCGCUCUCUCUCCAUACUCAUCCACUCCUCCGUCGCCGUCAGAGCAGGACGGCACGCUAGGGCAGUCGAGCCACGCCCGCGUGUCGGCUGUCUGCAAGAAUCCGCCCGCGUUUCUCACGUCUCCGAGGCACCCGUCCCUGACGGUGAACGCGGCCCACACAGCGAGCACGAGGGACUCUGCCGAGACACACAAGGAGGCCGCCGCGUACGACAGUGACGUGGAAGAAGACGAAAGGGAUCCGAAGAGCGCCGUGGCCGCGCGCACGCCUGUGGCGUCAACCGCGCGGCGGACACCGAGGCUGGAAUUCAUGCGCCCUUCCCGCACGGCGUCAUCGAUGUGCAUACUGGGCCGGCCGCGACGCACCAUGGGGCUGCACAGCGCGCCGGGAAAGGGGCGCCAAAACACGAAAGCCGCCCAGGCGGGUCGCGCCGACGGCGAGUCCAAGACGGGUGCCACGCCGUCAACAACCCGCAGGCUAUCCGCGAGGCAGAAGCCGCAGGCGGCAGCGGCGUCUGCUGUGACGGCCGCCAGCGGAAGGCGUGGCAACACUGCGGCUUUGAGGUCUGGCAGCUGCGGCUCUGCCAGAGGCUCGAGCAGUGUCGGCAGCGGCGGAGGGCGCGCUACUCGCUGCAGCGGCGCGAACCGUGCUUCUCUCGACACCACGGCCACCGCUUCCAUCGUCCCUACGAAGGAGACAGAUGACGAGGCACCGACGGCCGCGACGGAGUCGAACAGCCACGGCACCACUCGCGCCGACACGGGGACAACGAUGUCAGCGUCGCACCCAUCUGACCACGCGCUCGAUGGCGGCGAGCUUGUAGAGCCGCUCUCGGCGGUGUUUGUGGUCGCUGCCGCCGCCGCGCCAGCCGCCGCGCCGUCGCCGCCAACGACCACGCAGAAAAGCGCGCGGGACAGCGGCACGCAGCGCGGACGACUGCGAGACAGCAAGGCCAGCUCCAGCCGGGACGCUGACAAGGACCACGACGCUUCCCUCUCGUCGCCUCCACAGCAUCGGCACCGCAGACACGCUGGGGCAGAGGGUGAGACAGCCGUUUCGGCCCGCCCGCCGCACAAGGCAAGUGCACGGCAUGCACCGGGGCUUCCAGAAAACGAAGCGAGGCAUCCGGACGGCGGUGCCGCAGCAGGAACGACCGCGUUGGAGGGCGCUGACUCGCGCGCGCUGCUGCGACGACUUGCCCAGCAGAAAGACCGCACCCGGGCCAUUGAAGAGCGCCUGCGAUUCGGCGUCAACAGCACCGCCUUGGCGAACCCUAAUAGCGGCAGCCACAGUGCCCGCAGCGGCUGCGGCAGCGGUUUCGUGUGGAGUGACGGGCACAUCACAGGCAGAUGGGGACUGGAGUUGGAGAGCUGCACGCCGACGCGCGGCGCCGCGCGGGCGUGCAUGGCUGCCGACCUUGCUCGCCAGGACUUCAGCACACCGUCGAACAUGUACUCGGUGAGUGGAGCCACCGGAGACGCCACCUUGGACACUCCUGCGACUCGCGUCAGCACAGCUCGGCACGGCGGCGGUGCCGCGGCAGACGCCCCCCACGUGACGGUGGUCGACCCUGCUGAAGCCACGGCUGUUUACGGUGUGCACGCCGUUCAUUCCGGCGCAGGUGCCGGCGCGGCCGCAGCCGCACAGCAGACCUCAUCAAAUCCACGCCGGCGCCGCGUCGAUCUGCGCUCGCGCCUGGUGUCGAAGCUAACUGCCGUCUCGUCGUCUCUGUCAGCGAGCCCCGCGAAGCGGCACAAGGGCUGCACUGCAACCAUCACAACGGCCACCAACGCCACCGCUGCUGCAACGGCGGCCUCUACCCAAAGUUUCCGCCGCGCCGAGAGCGCCUACAGUAUACGCUCUCGCUCCCCCACGUACGUCACCAUAAUGCACCAUGCGGGCUACGGCGAUCGCCGCCGGCACAGCAUCAGCGGCGACGUGCUGCCACCCACUACGUUAUCCAUGCCCGAGCGCCAGCUGCGUUCUUCGCGGGCGCCGGUGGCCAGUCAGCUGAUCGACUGGGCUCGGGGAGGCGAAUAAGACGGCGUGUGCCGAGGAGGGGGAGGGGGCAUAUAUUCCAUGUAUGCGACGGCUGCUCCUCCUCUUCUCUGUGCACGUAUGGCUGCUUGCGAGUGCUGCGCGUUUCUGCCUUGCGCUCCGUCCGCUGGUUGGCCGUGACGCCGUUGCUCAAGUCGUCUGUGGCCCUCUUUCUUCUUUCUUGUUUGCCUUCUAGUAUGCCAGGCCUUUGCACGUGCUUGUGUCUUCAAUGGUGGGGCGGCUCCCUAACCACUCCCUCGUGAGAGCGCCGCCGCCGCCGCCGCCCCGCCCCUCCUCCCCUCUCUCUACCUCGCCUUCCAUUUCUCACACUCUCUCGUGACGCCUGCUCCGCUGGGCCAUCCGUUUCACCCGCCGCGGCCGCUGCACCGUUGCCGUUCCUCAGCCAAACCCUCUCUGCCACAAUGUGCCCAGUGAGCUCUUCCACCGCACCACACCCUCAGAGAGAGAGAGAGAGGCGAGCGACGUGCAUGUUUUGUGUGUGGGUGCGCGUGCUGGUCUGCGGGCACGUUGCGUGGCGCCCAAGCCCUUCACCAACCGUGCGUGGUUCCGCCAGCGACGGCUUUACCGCACGGACAGCGGCGAGAGCAGGGCAGAGCCGAGAAUAGAGACCUGCAGUGGAGGCGAGGCUGUCGUAGAAUUCAAUUUCAGACGUGUCUUUCCCCUCACCAACCCCUCUUUUUCCGCACAGGCGAAGUGACGCAGGCGCUGGCGGCACGUCGUUUGUGUGUGUGUGUGUGCACCGACACGCACGUGCACGCGUGCGCGCCUAGCCAGCACGCCGCUUCCCACAGCAGAGCAGACUCCGAUGUUCGAACUAUUCAACAGC